GACGAACGCUGGCGGCGUGCCUAAUACAUGCAAGUCGAGCGCAGUGGGGACUGGUGAGUAACCCGUGGGUAACCUCCCAUCAGAGGGGAUAACACUUUGAAACAGGUGCUAAACCGAUACUGAUAGAUGGUCCCGCGGUGCAUUAGCUACUUGGUGAGGUAACGGCUCACCAAGGCAACGAUCCAUAGCCGACCUGAGAGGGUGAUCGGACACACUGGGACUGAGACACGGCCCAGACUACUACGGGAGGCAGCAGUAGGGAAUUUUCGGCAAUGGGCGAAAGUCUGAUCGAGCAACGCCGCGUGAGUGAAGAAGGUUUUCGGAUCGUAAAACUCUGUUGUUAGAGAAGCGGUAUCUAACCAGAAAGCCACGGCUAACUACGUGCCAGCAGCCGCGGUAAUUC
Molecule: ribosomal RNA, 403 nt
Filed under: uncultured bacterium
Lineage: Bacteria
Description: partial 16S ribosomal RNA
Rfam family: Bacterial small subunit ribosomal RNA
Source: RNAcentral